GUGCCAGCAGCCGCGGUAAUACAGAGGGUGCAAACGUUGCUCGGAAUUAUUGGGCGUAAAGCGCGUGUAGGCGGUCUGUUAAGUCGGUUGUGAAAGCCCACGGCUCAACCGUGGAAGUGCGUCCGAAACUGGCAGACUAGAGUCCUGAAGAGGAUGGCGGAAUUCCCAGUGUAGAGGUGAAAUUCGUAGAUAUUGGGAGGAACAUCGGCGGCGAAGGCGGCCAUCUGGGAAGGUACUGACGCUGAGACGCGAAAGCGUGGGGAGCAAACAGGAUUAGAUACCCUGGUAGUCCACGCCGUAAACGAUGAGCACUAGGUGUUGCGGGUAUUGACCCCUGCAGUGCCGACGCUAACGCAUUAAGUGCUCCGCCUGGGGAGUACGGCCGCAAGGCUAAA
Molecule: ribosomal RNA, 395 nt
Filed under: uncultured bacterium
Lineage: Bacteria
Description: bacterial SSU rRNA
Rfam family: Bacterial small subunit ribosomal RNA
Source: RNAcentral